GGUGUUUUUUGGAUAGCACACCCCAGAAUUGGGCUCCCUCCUCUCUGGUUCCAGGUGCGUCACCCAAAAACUGCA
This is a non-coding RNA of Myotis davidii, 75 nucleotides long. The record is from Rfam. Lineage: Eukaryota; Metazoa; Chordata; Mammalia; Chiroptera; Vespertilionidae.